UUAACUUAUUAUAUAAUACUCAGACGACACUAAACACAGAGUUGGGGGCUAUUGGCCGACAUGACCGGGCGAACCCGGACGCCCGAGGGCGCCGACCAAAGCAACAAGAGUAAAUAACACAGGGUGGGAGGUCUACCCCGGAGGGCAUGAUCUCUGUAAUGAUCCUUCCGCUGGUUCACCAACGGAAA
RNAcentral lists this unclassified non-coding RNA (188 nucleotides) under uncultured fungus. RNAcentral describes it as "sequence contains ITS1". The record is from RNAcentral. Lineage: Eukaryota; Fungi.